AUGUUGGGUGUCACUCGGCCCUCCCUCUCUCUGCUGCCCCCCUCCAGUGAGGAGCUCCAGCGGGGGAAGGCUACACUGCUGUGUUUGGUCAGUAAGGGCUUUCCCUCAGACUGGACACUGAGCUGGAAGGUGGACGGUAGCAGGUGGAGCUCAGGUGUGGUGGUCAGCCCCGGCGUGCUGCAGCAGGGAAACGGCCUGUACAGCUGGAGCAGCACGCUGACCCUCACUGAGGACCAGUGGAGGAAGACGAGGGCAGUGAGCUGUGAGACCGUAGAGUUAAAAUGUACAUAUUAUGGGCUUCAACAUCUUCAGGAAAAGAAAGAACUGGCCAUUCCGGGUGUGGAAUGCAACACUGAAGGUGGUUUCCUGCUACUGCCCCUCUCAGUCUCCAGUGGAGUGAAGUCCUGA
Colossoma macropomum (tambaqui) is the source of this 408-nucleotide non-coding RNA. The record is from the annotation of a RefSeq genome assembly. NCBI's taxonomy places the organism in Eukaryota, Metazoa, Chordata, Actinopteri, Characiformes, Serrasalmidae.